AUCUCUAUGUCUCUCUCGCUACGUUAUUCACUUUUCAGGCUCUUCAAAAUUCCUUUGCUUCCAUUGAAGAAGCCGCAAGGGUUCCAGAUUUCUCCCUAUUUACUUCUUUUGCCACUCUGCUCUGCUCUUCUUUACUCUUUAGAGUUUUUACUUAUGUCUGAUUUUUUGGAGAAAACCUCAAAUUACUAGUUUAUUUUAAUAUAGUGAUGACACGCCACCGUUUUUCUCGUUUUCUUUGAAAAAAAACCCGACUCCUUGCAGUUUCUGUUGCAGACUGUGGACAUCUAAAACUCUGUCUUGUAGCGCAAAAGUCUGGGUAUAUUAUGCACCGAGUGUGUUCGAAGAAAUUCCUCUAAGAAAUUAAAUUACUAGAAAGGUUUAAAAAUGAUCCCAAAGCAAUUUCGUAUAUUGGGAAAAGGCGCUGCGAUAGUUUUUGGAGGAUUUAUGGCUCUCAAUCUUGCAGCUACCGUUGCCAUUGGUGCAUUUCGCUCUGUAGCCGAAAGGAAUCGGAGAAAAUUUGCCUUGCCUUGUGGGGUUUGUAAAGGGAAAGGAUUUUACUUAUGCAAGCUGUGCAACGGAAAUGCUACAAUAAAGUGGUCACCUUUGUAUGAUCCUAUUCAUAUUAACCCUUGUGUUUGCCCUACUUGUGAUGGUAACAGGGUGCAGCGCUGCUUAAACUGUCUUGGCAAAGGUUAUAGUUGACUACUACUUAACUUGUAAGAGUUUCGAUUGUCAUUGCUUUAUAAUUCUGAAUUCCAUUUUGUAAGUGAAUAAUUUUCUGCUAUGUAUUAGAGCCUUAUUCUUGCUGCUUUAUAAUCUAUGUUACACCGUCUUCAUGGCAAUCAGAAAAUCAAGAAGCCAUCUCGCAAUGCAAUGAGGUCUUGUUAUUUCAUUUCAUCGUCGACUGACAUUCAAAAUUUUGAUGAACUGCUUGCUUUCUGCGAUUGUCUCUGACAAGAUCGAUGAAAUGAACUACUGCUACCUGAUUUUGAACUACAAUAGGAUUACAUGCUCUACGAGCUGCUGUGGGUCAUGACCCCAGUUUGCAAGAUGGUUGCCAAGUUAAUGUGAUUUACAGUACAAUUAAAUUCGCAAAUCCUAUUAAAGUGAGUUGGUACUGGGAAAUCCAAUUUUUUUUCCUUUGAACUCUUUUAGAUCACUUUCUUAAUCACAUGAAUUAUAAUUAGAUCAAUAGCUCCUUCAAAUGAGUAUGUUCCUUGGAUUGGGAAGAAACUAUAUAUAUAUAUUGGUAUUUUUCAUUUUCGUUUUA
RNA transcript from Gossypium raimondii (Peruvian cotton), 1270 nucleotides. It is a transcript of the gene named protein BUNDLE SHEATH DEFECTIVE 2, chloroplastic, with no coding region annotated. The transcript has 4 exons. NCBI's taxonomy places the organism in Eukaryota, Viridiplantae, Streptophyta, Magnoliopsida, Malvales, Malvaceae. The record is from RefSeq and is a predicted model, not a curated record.